This 468-nucleotide ribosomal RNA is filed under the name uncultured bacterium. RNAcentral describes it as "partial 16S ribosomal RNA". It matches the Rfam family "Bacterial small subunit ribosomal RNA", at positions 28 to 507 of the family's 1533-position model. The record is from RNAcentral.
GACGAACGCUGGCGGCGUGCUUAACACAUGCAAGUCGAACGGAAAGGCCCUGCUUUUGUGGGGUGCUCGAGUGGCGAACGGGUGAGUAACACGUGAGUAACCUGCCCUUGACUUUGGGAUAACUUCAGGAAACUGGGGCUAAUACCGGAUAGGAGCUCCUGCUGCAUGGUGUGGGUUGGAAAGUUUCGGCGGUUGGGGAUGGACUCGCGGCUUAUCAGCUUGUUUGUGGGGUAGUGGUUUACCAGGGCUUUGACGGGUAGCCGGCAUGAGAGGGUGAACGGCCACAUUGGGACUGAGAGACGGCCCAGACUCCUACGGGAGGCAGCAGUGGGGAAUAUUGCAGAGUGGGCGGAAGCCUGAUGCAGAAACGCCGCGUGCGGGAUGACGGCCUUCGGGUUGUGAACCGCUGUCGCCUGUGACGAAGCGUGAGUGGCGGUAAUGGGUAAAGAAGCACCGGCUAACUACGUG